RNAcentral lists this ribosomal RNA (202 nucleotides) under uncultured Lactobacillus sp. RNAcentral describes it as "partial 16S ribosomal RNA". It matches the Rfam family "Bacterial small subunit ribosomal RNA", at positions 161 to 356 of the family's 1533-position model. Lineage: Bacteria; Bacillati; Bacillota; Bacilli; Lactobacillales; Lactobacillaceae. The record is from RNAcentral.
UGCUAAUACCGGAUAACAACAGAUGAUGCCUAUCAACUGUUUAAAAGAUGGUUCUGCUAUCACUCUUGGAUGGACCUGCGGUGCAUUAGCUAGUUGGUAAGGGUAACGGCCUAUCAAGGCGAUGAUGCAUAGCCGAGUUGAGAGACUGAUCGGCCACAUUGGGACUGAGACACGGCCCAAACUCCUACGGGAGGCAGCAGCG